RNAcentral lists this ribosomal RNA (265 nucleotides) under uncultured bacterium. Its description in RNAcentral is "partial 16S ribosomal RNA". It matches the Rfam family "Bacterial small subunit ribosomal RNA", at positions 333 to 590 of the family's 1533-position model. The record is from RNAcentral.
AUAACCCUACGGGAGGCAGCAGUAGGGAAUCUUCCACAAUGGACGAAAGUCUGAUGGAGCAACGCCGCGUGAGUGAAGAAGGGUUUCGGCUCGUAAAGCUCUGUUGGUAGUGAAGAAAGAUAGAGGUAGUAACUGGCCUUUAUUUGACGGUAAUUACUUAGAAAGUCACGGCUAACUACGUGCCAGCAGCCGCGGUAAUACGUAGGUGGCAAGCGUUGUCCGGAUUUAUUGGGCGUAAAGCGGAUGCAGGCGGUUCAAUAAAACU